Molecule: long non-coding RNA, 1618 nt
Organism: Pseudophryne corroboree (corroboree frog)
Lineage: Eukaryota; Metazoa; Chordata; Amphibia; Anura; Myobatrachidae
Exons: 2
Source: RefSeq, a predicted model, not a curated record
AUCGGGACAUUUGGGAGGUAUGGGGGUGUGUGAGGGGUAUGUCAUACAGACAGACGGGCACCGGCUCACUGUGUGCUUGACCCCCCACAUCGGCAUACUCAGCAGGGUCUCUCUGGCGGGGAGGAGCGUCACUUUCUGGCACACUCCACGCUUCUUAGCUGCAGUUUAGUGGGGCACCUGCCGCUGUGCACGUUCCGUACUGCCUCUGUUAUCUCCAGCCCCGGCAACCCCACCGCUAGCUGCAGCACUGCCACCCGCAGUGAGGUGCGCCCAGCUCCUUCUCACACUUUAGCUGGCGGGUAGCGCUACAGAAGUCCGAGCUGCUUGCAGGCUCUGACCCACUCCUCCCUCCAGCCGCAGCGUCUCCUGGGAGCUAACCAGUCACUCCCAGUCUCCCCUUACCACAGUGCCCGGAAGCCGCGAGGUCCGCGCCACGUGCAUGCUAUGACCCCCUCCUCCCUCCAGCCGCAGCAUCUCCUGGGGGCUAACCAGUCAUUUCCAGUCUCACCUUACCACAGUGCCCGGCAGCUGCGCGAGGUUUGCGGUGUGUGACUGAGGAGGGGGGGAGGGAUGCGGACGGGCAGAGGAAGCAGGAAUCCAGCCUGAGAGAGUCAGCCAUGCCAAGUCUCCAGCAGCAGCAGAUCCCAACAGGUUGGAGUGGAACAGCAGCAGCCAGCAGCAGUGACUCCGCUGCAACGACUGGGGCCAAACAGACAACAGACAUCACCCUCGAUAUGGAAAAGAGAACAGAACAAAUGAAACAGUGCGGAGGGCCCUGCUCGCAAGAGCUGGCAUUCUACACUGUGGCUGUGAUUAUGAGUAAUGAACUGGUGAUUCUGCAAGUGAAAAUGCACCUUGGGCCCAGCACUGAGGGGGUUAACCCUAGCGCGCAGACUGAAGUAUAUAACGUGGGGUGGGGGUGCGAGGGGAGAUAUUUGGACAGAAAAACAUUCUUCUUCAAGAAAACUCUCAUUUUAAAAUCGGUCCAAAAUACUCAGACGGUUCCCAGAUCAGUAAUAACACUUAGUGCCGACCUUCCCUUCCCAGGAGGAGAACCUUCCACAAUGAUAAAUCUGUAGGCAUACUCACUCCAGCUAUACGGAUCAGCAUUUAUUUGGGAAGUGAUUAAUCUCCCACCUCCCAUUACGUCCCAUUUUGCAGUGAAAAUUCAGCUACUUUUAAUGUAUUCUCUUGUCCACGCCCUCCUGCAAUGCAGUGUUCUCUUUGUCAUCUUCCCGUCUGUGCUUUUCAGCCAUGUGUUUUGCAGUAUUCUCAUUGUUGGAGGAUAUGACACAAUGUUGCCCUCUAGAUAGAAGUGUAUUGUGCAGAAGGGUUACAUUCAGGACAAUGCACAUGAAAUACAGUGCCUGAUUAUAUAACUGCCUGGCUGAAGAUAACAGAGGACCACAGAAAGAGAAACAAUGUAGAGUUGCAGAGGAGCGGGGAUGAAUCAAUGGAAGACAGGAGACUCCCCGCAGAGUCAGACAGACAGGAGAUUUGUACAUCUGGAGAUGUAUAUAUAUUUGUAGCAGGAUUCAGCUUUGGAACGAGGCCAAACUCUGUCUCUGGAGAGAACUCAAACACCUAAAACAUGUUAGUAAAUGUCUAGUAAAAAUUA